AUUGAACGCUGGCGGCAUGCUUUAUACAUGCAAGUCGAGCGAGCGGCGGACGGGUGAGUAAUGCCUGGGAAACUGCCUGAUGGAGGGGGAUAACUACUGGAAACGGUAGCUAAUACCCCAUACCAUCAGAUGUGCCCAGUUGGGAUUAGCUAGUAGGUGGGGUAACGGCUCACCUAGGCUACGAUCCCUAGCUGGUCUGAGAGGAUGACCAGCCACACUGGAACUGAGACACGGUCCAGACUCCUACGGGAGGCAGCAGUGGGGAAUAUUGCACAAUGGGCGCAAGCCUGAUGCAGCCAUGCCGCGUGUGUGAAGAAGGCCUUCGGGUUGUAAAGCACUUUCAGCGGGGAGGCGUUACCUGCAGAAGAAGCACCGGCUAACUCCGUGCCAGCAGCCGCGGUAAUUC
RNAcentral lists this ribosomal RNA (406 nucleotides) under uncultured bacterium. RNAcentral's name for it is "partial 16S ribosomal RNA". It matches the Rfam family "Bacterial small subunit ribosomal RNA", at positions 30 to 526 of the family's 1533-position model. The record is from RNAcentral.